This 848-nucleotide ribosomal RNA is filed under the name Strigula multiformis. RNAcentral's name for it is "partial large subunit ribosomal RNA". It matches the Rfam family "Eukaryotic large subunit ribosomal RNA", at positions 67 to 939 of the family's 3401-position model. Lineage: Eukaryota; Fungi; Ascomycota; Dothideomycetes; Strigulales; Strigulaceae. The record is from RNAcentral.
AACGGGGAUUGCCUCAGUAACGGCGAGUGAAGCGGCAACAGCUCAAAUUUGAAAUCUGGCGCCCCCGGCGCCCGAGUUGUAAUUUGCAGAGGAUGCCUCGGUGCGAGGCCGCGCCCAAGUCCCUUGGAACAGGGCGCCUCAGAGGGUGAGAGUCCCGUUGGGCCGCGGCCGACCUCCGUGUGAGGCUCCUUCGACGAGUCGAGUUGUUUGGGAAUGCAGCUCUAAGCGGGAGGUAAAUUUCUCCUAAGGCUAAAUACCGGCCAGAGACCGAUAGCGCACAAGUAGAGUGAUCGAAAGAUGAAAAGCACUUUGGAAAGAGAGUUAAAAAGCACGUGAAAUUGUUGAAAGGGAAGCGCUUGCGGCCAGACUUGCCGCGGCGGUUCGGCCGGGUGCUCCACCCGGCUUACUCCGCCGCGUCGGGCCAGCAUCAGCUUGGGCGGUCGGACAAAGGCCUGGGGAACGUAGCUCCCUCCGGGGAGUGUUAUAGCCCCUCGCGCAAUGCGGCCUGCCCGGGCUGAGGCUCGCGUUCUGCUAGGAUGCUGGCGUAAUGGCCGCAAGCGGCCCGUCUUGAAACACGGACCAAGGAGUCUACCAUCUGUGCGAGUGUUUGGGUGUCAAACCCGUGCGCGUAAUGAAAGUGAACGGAGGCGGGAGCCCCCGGGCGCACCGUCGACCGAUCCUGAUGUCUUCGGAUGGAUUUGAGUAAGAGCACAGCUGGUGGGACCCGAAAGAUGGUGAACUAUGCGUAAACAGGGCGAAGCCAGAGGAAACUCUGGUGGAGGCUCGCAGCGGUUCUGACGUGCAAAUCGAUCGUCAAAUUCGCGCAUAGGGGCGAAAGACUAAUCGAA